GUCUACGGCCAUGCCACCCUGAACAUGCCUGAUCUCGUCUGAUCUUGGAAGCUAAGCAAGGUCAGGCCUGGUUAGUACUUAGAUGGGAGACCACCUAGGAAUAUCACAUGCUGUAGGCA
RNAcentral lists this ribosomal RNA (119 nucleotides) under Pteropus alecto (black flying fox). Lineage: Eukaryota; Metazoa; Chordata; Mammalia; Chiroptera; Pteropodidae. The record is from RNAcentral.